RNAcentral lists this long non-coding RNA (571 nucleotides) under Salvia miltiorrhiza (redroot sage). Its description in RNAcentral is "long non-coding RNA (SMIL_LNC007675)". The record is from RNAcentral. Lineage: Eukaryota; Viridiplantae; Streptophyta; Magnoliopsida; Lamiales; Lamiaceae.
CCCGUCUAUUUUUUCAGUAAAUAUUAAAUAUAUUUAAAUUUCGAAAUUUUAAUUAUUUUUAAAUUUCAUACAGAUCUUAUUGGUGUAAUAGUUUCCAGCUAUAAGCCGAUAGAAAAGGAUUUGAAUGGGAAGCCUACAAAGCUUAUGGAUAUUGUGAUUGAAGAUCUUGAGUAAAAUCGAAAUAUAACUUAAUACUUAUUUUUUCAUUUUCAAACAAUAUCUAACUUAAUAUUUUCUUUUUCAGGGGAAAGACGUUGUCAUGUACUUUAUGGGAAUAAUAUGCAGAUACAAUGUUUGAGUUCUUGUGCAGUCGGCCAAAAAUGCCUGUAUGCAUAAUCCUACAAUAUUGUAGACCAACUAUGUUUAGAGGUAAAAUAUAUGAUAAUUUUUAUAGCAUGUAAAAUUUUAUUGUGUACUAAAUACUUCUUUUCACAGGGGAAGUUCGAAUCACAAGUUCGUACCAUAUUACGAACAUCAUUUUUGAUGAAAAUGUGGCUGAAAUAAAAGAAAUGAAAGAAAAGUAAGAUGUAGAUCAAAAAUUUUGCAUAAUGUCUAUGAAAUAUCAAACAUU